RNAcentral lists this long non-coding RNA (811 nucleotides) under Mytilus galloprovincialis (Mediterranean mussel). The record is from RNAcentral. Lineage: Eukaryota; Metazoa; Mollusca; Bivalvia; Mytilida; Mytilidae.
AAUAUGAUUUUUUAGUGCAGUCUAGUGUGAAUACUUGUUUGUGUCACUUUUAAUGACCUGUAAAUUUAUGAAGUAUUUCAGGUAGCACUUCAGUCUUGUUUUAAAUACCCAUCGGGUCGUACAACAACCCGUGAAUUCAGACAAUGACCAGUUUUUGUCCGGAUUCCUGAGUCUUUAGUUAGCAAUACACAGUUUGAAGUUAAGUUUCGCAUUAUGUUAAUGGUGAAUUGUUUUAAAAAUAAAAGUUUUUUGUACAAUAAUAUUGAUUUUUAGAUAGUUAAAGAAUAAUAUAGCCUUCCAAGUGGGUUCAUAUGAGCAUUUAGAUUGUCCUUAGCAUGUUUUAUAGGCUAUUUUUUUCUGUUUUACAGUCCAUAUUUUCCUAUCCGUACUAAAGGUCAAGAAAUGAUUGUAGUGUUUUCCAAAAAGAUUUGACACUCGAUCAUUUUAAUUUAAUAAUAUGGAAAAACGAUCAGAAAUGAAAAUUGGAACUCUUUAUAGAUAAAUGUCUAUGGUUUUAGGAAAGGUAUCACUCUAAUUGGUUGGAGUUUCCUUUGAACCAAAUUUUGAAGACCUUUGUGACAUUUUCACAUCUGUUUUUGCAAUAUUUUGUAUGAAAUUAAUGCAGAUUGUUGUCAUGGUUUACCAAAAAGAGAUUAUAUUUCACCAUUUUAACUUUUUGAAAUCUAAUUCAUGGAUGAUUCUCUUUCCAUAAAUAUAUACACGCAUAGCACAAAUAUUAAACCUUAUUUUGUAGAAAGGAAGGAACGAUUAUGAGUGUCAAUUUUAAGUGUUUUUCCUAACUGUACUGCUG